This 446-nucleotide ribosomal RNA is filed under the name uncultured bacterium. Its description in RNAcentral is "partial 16S ribosomal RNA". It matches the Rfam family "Bacterial small subunit ribosomal RNA", at positions 338 to 795 of the family's 1533-position model. The record is from RNAcentral.
CCUACGGGAGGCAGCAGUAGGGAAUUUUCGGCAAUGGGGGGAACCCUGACCGAGCAACGCCGCGUGAACGAAGAAGUUAUUCGUAAUGUAAAGUUCUUUUAACAGGGAAGAAAGAGAAAUUUGACGGUACCUGAAGAAUAAGCUCCGGCUAACUACGUGCCAGCAGCCGCGGUAAUACGUAGGGGGCGAGCGUUAUCCGGAAUUAUUGGGCGAAAAGGGUGCGUAGAUGGCAUAGUAAGUCUUUUGUAAAAAUGCUGGGCUAAACCCAGUAGGGCAAAAGAUACUGGAAAGCUAGAGUAUGACAGAGGAAAGUGGAAUUACAGGUGUAGCGGUAAAAUGCGUAAAUAUAUGUAAGAACACCAGUGGCGAAGGCGGCUUGCUGGGUCGAUACUGACAUUGAGGCACGAAAGCGUGGGGAGCAAACAGGAUUAGAUACCCGAGUAGUC